Molecule: long non-coding RNA, 1391 nt
Organism: Carassius gibelio (silver crucian carp)
Lineage: Eukaryota; Metazoa; Chordata; Actinopteri; Cypriniformes; Cyprinidae
Exons: 4
Source: RefSeq, a predicted model, not a curated record
CGAUUGGCUGUUUGCUCAAUGACUUGAUCACAUGCUGGGCUCGGCAAAACCAUGACUUUGAUGUCUUUGUGCCACAAAGUCACCUGAAAGAAGCUGCUGGUGUGCUGAAGGGUGUGUGUCUUCCAGGUUGGUCAUUUCAGCCCAAUAUGCCGUCAAAUACCUUGCAUAAUUUACUUUGUCACAGGCAAAAAACCAGGGCAGCAUACUUUGCACAGUGGACAAAUGGAGAGCCCAGUUCCCCUCUCUUGUUGCCCUGAUGAAAAGAAGCAAAUCUUCCAUCAUGUCAAUGUAUGUGCUCCAAAAUGCAAAUGUGUGGUUACAGUUGUUUUUCACCACAAAUUCUUCAUAACCUUGCAGUAACUGCUGAAAUGUGUCUGAUGUUAGCAUGCCCUUGAACUCUUCAGAGGGAAAACACUCCUGCAGAUCUGUUGCCACUUUUAAAGCAGCUGCAUUUUGUUCUUGUGUGAGUGUGUCCAAGUAUGCCCACCAUCGCAGUUUCUGGAGUGCUUCCGUCAGGAGUUUGUGAGCCCGUAUGCUCCUGUUGUAGUGAUGGCCGGAGAUCACUCCAUCGAUUGAGCUCAAUCAAGAUGUCCUGAAAGCCUGCAUCACCAUACAACUUUCCUAUGCAUGACAGAUACGCCAUUGCUGUGUGGAACUCUCCCAUCCUCACUACGAUUCUCUCAGACUGUCAGCAAUGGCAAUGGAGCGGCUCAGGAUGGUGUGGACAGUGUUGAGAUCAGUCGGACUGGCGUCAAUCACUGGGAGGUAGCCAAUAUGUGUAGAUGGUGGUAGUACUGUGUCUUCCUUCAACAUUAUAUUAUACCCUGUCCAUCCAGGAAGGAUUUUGUGCUGGGCCUCAGGUACUUUCAGUAAAAAGAAUGCAGCAUCAAUUCUUCUACCGGUAGUUUGGGCAUAUCUGUAUUGGUCCUGAUGGAGAUCAGUCUUCAAUGCAAAGUUCUGUGGACCAGACCGCUUUCCUCUUGUGUAUGUUGAAAGAUUCAGUGGAGGAGGAUGAACCGACCGCUCUCGUGUUCUCUGUCUGGGUAAUGUGUCUGAUGAGCAAGGGCAGUAUCAUGCUCAAGGACCUGGGAAUUAGAUGAGCAGUGACCCAGACCAUUUAACAGCCCUAUAAGCUGUGCAGAGCCAGUCAUAUGCCGAACUGCCAUUGCAAUGACAUCAACACGUUCAUCUGAUGGUUGUGAUGACAUUCCUGAUAUCCAUGCAAUGAAGUUAAAAAGUUGGUGAGGCACUACACUCAUGCCAUUUUCCAGUGUGAGAUCACUUGCUGUUGGAGGCCAUGGUAGCUUUGGGUAUAUUUUUGAUGUAUUUUGAAUUAUUUCUUUAAGUCUCAUUGCUGCGUGAUAUAACUCCCGAGAAUCAUCCGUGGUGUU